AAAAAAAAGAUAAAAAAGAUAAAAAAUAAGUGAAACAAAAGGAGAAAAUUAAUAAUAAUGGAUGAAGAGAGAAACCCCCCGUUUUUCCCCCUCCGCACUCAAACUCGCUCUGCCUGCCAACCUCCGGCUCUGCUUUCCGGACUGCCGCCCCCCCCGCCCCGCAGCAGGACAAUCGGACGGACGGACGGACGGACGGACAGAGCGCAGGGGUGCGGGCAGGAGGGGACCUGGGGGUCAGCGCCGGGUGCCCCCUGCCCACAGCCCGGCCGGGGACCCCUGGGCCGCCCGGGGAGGCAGUCUGGGGAUUCUUUGCUUUUCUCGUCCCUCCCCGUCCGCUCGCUCGCCGCGGGGGCUGCUCUCGCCGGACGGACAGCGCUGACCCCCAGCAGGCUCCGGCGGCGUCGCCAGCGGGGCUCGGAGACGCCACCGCCACCAGCCACAGCACCCCCAGCCCUGCGCCCCCCGCCCGUCCCGGCUGCCGGAGCGGAGAGGAGAGGAGAGGAGAGGAGAGGAGAGGAGAGGAGAGGAGAUGAGAGGAGAGGAGAGGAGAGGAGAAGAGAAGAACAGAGGAGAGGAGGGGGCUGCCUCCGGAGGGGACCCCGCUCCGCCGCCCCCGCUUCGCCCCCGGCCCCCGCCUCGGCCGUGGCGCCGGCGCCGCGAUCUGUCUCUCCUCCCAGCCAGAAGCAGAGGGACUCUUUAAGUUUUAUUUUUUAUUUGAUUAAUUUUCAUUUUCUGCACAAAACCAGCAAUUGUAAAUACUUUUGAAGAAAAGAAGUUAAAAAAAAAAAAUGUUUAAGGAUAAAAAAAAAAAUUUAAAAAGCUGAAAAAUCACAAAAAAAAAAAAUAGAGAAUCAUGCACCGGAGGGAGAAUCCAAAAAUGACGGAGAACAGGCCUAAAGCAUCCAAGAGGUGAAUAUGCAGCAGAAAAGAGCAAAACCCCCCCCAGUAUGCACUGAGAAAAAAAUUUAUUUACAGAUCGAGCAACAAAAAAAAAAAAAGAAAAAAAAAGAAAAAAGUAACAAUAACCUAUUUAUUGUAUAUAAUGUUUUAUUAUAAAUCGUGUCUUGUAUAUUGCAUUCUGUACAUCUGCUGUGGUUUUGUGGUGUGCAACUUCCGCAUGGGUUCCUUGGGUUUCCGUUGCCUUUUUUUUAAUGAUUCAAUGAUGAUUUGAGUUUUAUUUUUAUUAUUAUUCUGAAGAACGAAGGCGGGUUUUUGAUUUUUUGUUGGGUUUUUUGGUUGGUUUUUUUGGCAGUACACACCCAAAGAUCCAAAUUUGUAUAAAAAAAAAAGAGUUUAAAAAAAAAAAAAAAAGAAGAAGACAAAAACUUAAAAAAAAAGUUUAAAAAAAGAAGAAAUCAAUCGAUCACAGACCCUCUUGGUGGGGAGGGAGUGGGGGGCUGGGGAAAAGGGGGGUCCCUUUCCCAGGGUCCCCGAGGCGGUGGCGGUGACGAGCUCAGGGUGUGGGUGCGUGUGUGGGUGCCAGGUGGGCUUUGGGGUCCUCUCCUCCCACGAAUUCCCUGUGUGUCCCCCCCCCUCCUCAAGUUUGGCAAUCUCUGUACAGCUUUGUGGGUUGUGCAAAAAAAGAGAAAACACACACACACACACACACAAAGAGAUGAAAACCACCCUGAAAUGGAUAAAAAAAGCAAAAUUCACAAAAAAUAAAAAAAAAAAGGAGAAAACUACCCAAAUUUGGUCAAAAUACGCCCUCCUUCCCCCGCCCCCCCGCUGCCCUGUGCAGUGCUUGUGCUGCCCUGGCCAGAGGGGCCCCCGUGAGCCCCCCGGCCCCCGCUUUGCCCCUCAAACGGUCUUUUUGUGUUACUUAGGAAGGAAUUUUUAAUAGGCACUUUUUUUAUAUUAAAAAGAAACCUAUAUAUUGAGCGA
Lonchura striata (white-rumped munia) is the source of this 1884-nucleotide non-coding RNA. The record is from RefSeq and is a predicted model, not a curated record. NCBI's taxonomy places the organism in Eukaryota, Metazoa, Chordata, Aves, Passeriformes, Estrildidae.